GAACCUACGGGGGGCAGCAGUGGGGAAUAUUGCACAAUGGGGGGAACCCUGAUGCAGCGACGCCGCGUGGGUGAAGGAGUAUUUCGGUAUGUAAAGCCCUAUCAGCAGGGAAGAACAAUGACGGUACCUGACUAAGAAGCCCCGGCUAACUACGUGCCAGCAGCCGCGGUAAUACGUAGGGGGCAAGCGUUAUCCGGAUUUACUGGGUGUAAAGGGAGCGUAGGUGGCAAGGCAAGUCAGAUGUGAAAACCCGGGGCCCAACCCCGGGAGUGCGAUUGAAACUGUCUGGCUAGAGUGCAGGAGAG
RNAcentral lists this ribosomal RNA (305 nucleotides) under uncultured bacterium. RNAcentral describes it as "bacterial SSU rRNA". It matches the Rfam family "Bacterial small subunit ribosomal RNA", at positions 333 to 656 of the family's 1533-position model. The record is from RNAcentral.